CAAGUUAUAGCUAAAUAAGUAUUUUAUUUACAUUAAAGUGAUAGUUGUAAAUUCAAUUUAAUUUGA
Molecule: transfer RNA, 66 nt
Filed under: Tenebrionoidea sp. 24 KM-2017
Lineage: Eukaryota; Metazoa; Arthropoda; Insecta; Coleoptera
Description: tRNA-Val
Source: RNAcentral